Molecule: ribosomal RNA, 468 nt
Filed under: uncultured bacterium
Lineage: Bacteria
Description: partial 16S ribosomal RNA
Rfam family: Bacterial small subunit ribosomal RNA
Source: RNAcentral
GACGAACGCUGGCGGCGUGCUUAACACAUGCAAGUCGAACGGAAAGGCCCUGCUUUUGUGGGGUGCUCGAGUGGCGAACGGGUGAGUAACACGUGAGUAACCUGCCCUUGACUUUGGGAUAACUUCAGGAAACUGGGGCUAAUACCGGAUAGGAGCUCCUGCUGCACGGUGGGGGUUGGAAAGUUUCGGCGGUUGGGGAUGGACUCGCGGCUUAUCAGCUUGUUGGUGGGGUAGUGGCUUACCAAGGCUUUGACGGGUAGCCGGCCUGAGAGGGUGACCGGCCACAUUGGGACUGAGAUACGGCCCAGACUCCUACGGGAGGCAGCAGGGGGGAAUAUUGCACAAUGGGCGGAAGCCUGAUGCAGCAACGCCGCGUGCGGGAUGACGGCCUUCGGGUUGUAAACCGCUUUCGCCUGUGACGAAGCGUGAGUGACGGUAAUGGGUAAAGAAGCACCGGCUAACUACGUG